AUUGAACGCUGGCGGAAUGCUUUACACAUGCCAGUCGAACGGCAGCACGGGGGCAGCCCUGGUGGCGAGUGGCGAACGGGUGAGUAAUACAUCGGAACGUGCCCGGUCGUGGGGGAUAACGUAGCGAAAGUUACGCUAAUACCGCAUACGAUCUGAGGAUGAAAGCGGGGGACCUUCGGGCCUCGCGCGAUCGGAGCGGCCGAUGUCAGAUUAGGUAGUUGGUGGGGUAAAGGCCUACCAAGCCGACGAUCUGUAGCUGGUCUGAGAGGACGACCAGCCACACUGGGACUGAGACACGGCCCAGACUCCUACGGGAGGCAGCAGUGGGGAAUGUUGGACAAUGGGCGCAAGCCUGAUCCAGCCAUUCCGCGUGCAGGACGAAGGCCUUCGGGUUGUAAACUGCUUUUGUACGGAACGAAAAGGCUCUGGCUAAUACCUGGCGCUCAUGACGGUACCGUAAGAAUAAGCACCGGCUAACUACGUG
This 484-nucleotide ribosomal RNA is filed under the name uncultured bacterium. Its description in RNAcentral is "partial 16S ribosomal RNA". It matches the Rfam family "Bacterial small subunit ribosomal RNA", at positions 30 to 507 of the family's 1533-position model. The record is from RNAcentral.